AGCGAGCCGCUUCCCGGCGCUUGGGAGGGGGAACGCCAGGCAUUCCGUGUGGCGAGCCCGGGUAUGGAAACAUCCACCGCGGGCAGGGGGCGGGGGCGGCUGCAGGGACAGGGAGGCGUUCCAAGCGCGGUAAAAGUGGGUGCGCAGCUUCCAACCGGUGACAACGGACUUCGCACUGCGCGCGGGCUCGUUUCCCGGUCAGGCUGCGGGGGUGUCUCCGAAUCCGGCGGCGAGCUCGCCGUCACAGCUGCCUCCCGUCAUAGGCGGCGCGGGUAGCGCUAAGGUAUUCUCAGUCACCGUUCGGUCGCGCUCUACUUUACCUACCUCCCAAGCUUACGUUCCUCGUGUACCUUAGCGUGCUUCACCGUGCAAAUCUGACGUUUUAUUUCUCGCUGCUACGGUGGAUGUUUGCUGUUUGGAUCUGCCUGGUAAAUUCAGAAACGGAAGAGUUUGCACUUAUUUGAAAUUUACUUCAGGCUGUCAGAGCUCUUUAAAUGUUUGUGUUACCAAGUGACUGCUGAGCCACUGUAGGAUGCAGGGAGUCCAAGCUUAUGCGCUCAAGCAUUGAAAUUGACCUUCAAACAUUUUUAAAAGCCCUGUGUGUGCUAUUUAUUCAUUGAAACUGGCUUUGACAAGUGAAAAAAUCCCAGUUUCCAUGUGGUGUGUCGCUGACCCCAAAAUACACAAUCAACUGUAGGAGUGACUUUGUGGCCUGCAUUAGAGAAAGGCAGUGUAACACUGUAAUGACAAUAAGUACUUUUAGUCUCAUUACAAUGUCCUUCCAUGGAUACAUAUCCAGUUUAUGUCAAUGGUAAUUCAGAAUAAAUGGAAAAUUCGUCUUAGUAGAUUUGUGUUGUGCCAGAAACAAGAAGGCUGCAUAAUUAAGUAUCGAUUUCAGACAGACUGUUACCUUAACAUGCAGAUGUAUGCAAAGGCAUUAUUGUUCCAUACUUCCAGAGUUUGAUUUUGCAGUAGUGCUACUGUAUGUUACGAGUUUUAGUUUGUAUUGUUCACAUCUAAAGUAAGAAUUCGGAUACUAGCGUUUACUGCAUCUUGUGAUAAGCAAGCCUCUGUCCCUUCUGUAACUGACCUUUGCAAGUAUUUAAUUAUAAAUGUGGGUAUUAAAGGAAAUAACUUUCCAGAGCAGUCACAUUUCUCUUAUAAUUCCUCAGUUUUGUUUCUCCUUCUUCCUCCAUUUCCUUUUGGUGAGCUUUAUUGGUUUGCAUGUUUUGUUAGAACAAACUAACAUUUUCCUAUGACAGUUAAGCUCACAAGGAUGAGUAUUCUUCACUUACAACAUUAAUCUCCAAAUGCAUGUAGCCAGAAAACCUUUUGUUUCUCAGGGCAUCAAGUUGUCAACAGAGGUCAAACCAUUUGUUACAAAACAUGCAGCGGUAACUGUGCCAUGGUCAGAACCCUCAGAAGCAUGUGUCUUUCCUAGGUACUUAACUACAUGCUACCCAUUUGUUCAGGAACCAUCUUUGGAUAAGCAGCAAGUAUAUGCUGAAGAUUUGCCCCAGGAUGACUUCUCAUCUCUUUCUCAAUGUCCAUCACUUAGUGUUCUGGGAGAUCCUGCCUUGCGUGAAUACUCCAGCUGCUGUUACUCACCUGAUGUUGUUUCAAAUGUAUAUCCAAUAGCUGGCUCACAAUAUCGUUCUAACAACUCAACACACUAUAAUGGUUCAGGAAUAGUCAGUGAAUCUGCUGGGCAAACGUAUCCCAUCAGACAAGAAAGUAAGAAUCUUUCAAAGCAGAGGAGAUCAAAAGAGGGUGAGAAAAAAUUAGACAAGAAGAGGCAUGAUGGAGAUGACUCUUCUGUCAGAAUUGUGAACAGGACUUCGUUCCAGACCUCUGCAUGCAGCAGAGAUUCCGUGAAGCCAGACAGGUUCAAUAAAACUGCAAACAAGAAGUCAACUCAGACUCCAAAACCAGAGUCUUUUCCUGUACCUGCAUUUGAAGCUACCAUUCGGGAUUUCUGCAAGUCACAGAGUUUGGGAAGCAGCGAGGUAUUGAAGGUACAGCAUAAAAGUGGACCAACAUGUUCAGCAGAAAGUAACAUUACGUGCCUUAGUCAACCACAGAUGUCUCUCUUGAACACAGAGGAACAUACAUAUGCAGAAAGCAAAGCUUCAUCGAAGCCUUCAGAUGGACCGGUGGCCAGCUCAAUUCCCUCCUCAUUUGAUGGUAGAGCAUUUCCUGAAGCACCUGCAGAUGGCUCUGCUCAGCCACAUGUGUCUUGGGCCAUGGUACUUUCACAGCCCCCAAAGAAAAUUGUGUCAUCACCAGCAUCUGAAGGUCUUUCCAGAGGCAAAGGGAAGCAGAAUAGUGAAGCAAAGCAGUCAGAAACAAAAAAUAAUGCCAGUGAAACUGAGCCUGAAGAAGGGUCAGAAAAGAAGAAAAAAAAGAAGAAAAAGAAGAAAAAAAUGAAGUUGCCCAGUAAUGUAGAGAAGCCUCAAAAUGAAUCUACAAUACCAGAACCACCAAGGAUUGAGGAUGCUGAGGAGUUUCCUGACCUGGCAGCUGCUUCUGAUAGGAGAAACGGACAAGGAUCUCAGAAAUCAUUUACUCCUGCUGUCAGAAAGCAGUCUGAAAUCCAUCUCCCUGAAGAGCCUUGGGAUAGUCGGUCUCCCACACUGGAUAGAACUUCCAAGGUGCAUGGACUAUCAGGGAAGCAGGCUUCAUCUUCUAUAUUAGAAAGAAAGAAAAUGCAGGAAACAUCCAGGAGCAGUGGUAAGAAGAGUCAAAUUCCCGUGCAAUUGGAUUUGGGUGGCAUGCUGGCAGUGUUGGAGCAGAAGCAGCAAACAGAGAAGUCAAAACAGUCUUCUAAACCUGUGGUAUUUUCAGUUGGUGGUGCCAUACCAUUGCUUUCUAAAGAACCUGCUACAGCCAUAAAAAGUCACCGGUUAAACCAAGAAAAGAUGCCUCAUAACCCUUUGGAUUCCAGCGCUCCUUUGGUAAAGAAAGGGAAACAGAGAGAAGUCCCUAAAGCAAAGAGACCAACACCUCUUAAAAAGAUUAUUCUGAAAGAGAGAGAACAACGAAAACAGCAACGCCUGUUAGAACAGAGAGCAGUACCAAAAGAUGAAGAUAAUGCUUGUCAGUCUGCAGAAAAUGUUAUUGAGGAUGAAACUCUUGUACAGGAUAGUCAAGCAGCUGUUCCUGUAAUGCAAGUUGCUGAGGGGUUUCUGGAGAACACUGGGUUCAACGUAUCUACAGAAGGUUCUAUGAGUUCAAAGCAGCUAACCUCCAAUCUUCCCAAAAUCCAUAGUAGGAAUUUUAGAGAUUACUGCAACCAGAUACUUAGUAAAGAAGUUGACAGCUGUGUGACAGAUCUCUUAAAAGAACUGGUUCGUUUCCAAGAUCGCUUGUAUCAGAAAGACCCCGUAAAGGCCAAGAUAAAACGCAGGCUUGUUAUGGGUCUUAGAGAAGUAUUGAAACAUCUGAAGCUGAAGAAACUGAAGUGUGUCAUCAUCUCUCCUAACUGUGAAAAGAUUCAGUCAAAGGGCGGGUUGGACGAGACUCUACACAACAUUAUUGACUGUGCCUGUGAACAGAAUAUCCCGAUUGUUUUUGCCCUUAAUCGCAAGGCCCUGGGCCGCUGUGUGAAUAAAGCAGUGCCUGUGAGUGUGGUGGGGAUUUUUAGCUAUGAUGGGGCUCAGGACCAUUUUCAUAGAAUGGUACAAUUGACAACAGAGGCCAGGAAGGCCUACAAAGAUAUGAUAGCAACUUUAGAGGAACAAGCUGAAGGAGGACUAAGAGAAACCCAACCCAGCACCUUAACCACUGAAAAAAACGAAAAAAAUGAUUUAUCAGAAACUGGUAAAACAUCUUCCAAGGACUCUGAUGAGGAUGUACCAAAUUAUAUUAAAAUCUGGAAGAGAAAACUUGAAGAAGAGUAUAACCCAUAUGCACUGGAACUGGAGAAGAGUGCAACUGCUGACAUGGUGAUAGCAAAUUCGGAAGAGCAUCAGUAAAUCCAGAUCCAAUUCUGUUGGCUUUUGAUUUCUUUUUAGGCCCCCUAGGAAGAGGGUAGCAAAACAAAGUAACUUAAUAAAUAUCUGAACUCAGCUGAGGAAACUGUUCUGAAUCCCUUUAAGUGAAAUACACCCUGGAGCUCCUGAGGCACUGGCUAAUGCUUUUACGUUCCAUGUAUUUGGCUGAUUACUAUAGAAGAUUACAACAACCAAUUGUCUUGGCUUGAACUGGCUUGGCAUCCUUUAAUGGUUGUAUGGACUAGCAUUGAUUUGUUAGUGAUACAACGUAGCAAAAGAACUUGCUAGAAAGAUAAUUUUGUUUGGGAAGACAUUCCAUGAGCCAAAAGAUUGGGGCCUGGGGGGAGCUGCUUUUUAUUUUUAACUUUUGUUUAAAGAACUUCAACUGUUUUUUGAUUGUGGGCUUGCUUUUGGUGUUUUUCUUCCAAGUAAAUCUGCUCAGGUGGGCAGGCUGGCAUCAAUGUCACUUUCCUCCAGUCAGCAAGAAAUUAAUUCUGGGCAGGCAGCUUGAUUGAAACUAAUUAAGGAAGGCCAUGGUGACAAAGUUCCCACUUAGCUCUUCUGUGUGGUGUUUUGUUCUUCUGGGAUCAUACAGCAGGUGUGAAGGGAGAGACCAUGGACUGCAAAGGUCUGAAAUUCCAGAAAUGAAAAUGCUCUGUUUAGAAAUUUUAUGAAGCUGAUUAAGUGUACAACGAUGAUAUUUCUGCUGCUACUGAGACUAGUUUAUCGUAGGUCCUGCUCUGAAGUUAGGGGAUAUUGAAGGACAGCACCUGUGCAAGCUUGCUGUCCUGUCUGUACCUUCUCCAUGCCAACAUUCCUUCAGUUUGGGGUUGUGUUGGUGUAUAUAUGUAAGCUUUUUUGAUCAAUCUCAGUUUGUAUCUAAGGUAGGGAGAAUUUAUAUCUCAUACAAAAUAAAAUUUAUAUCUUGUAGGGAAUAAAAUUUUAAAAACAAAGUGUGCUCAUAAUGGUGGUGCAGUACCUUAGUGGAAACAUCCUAUAUAAAUACCAUCGUUCACAAGUUGCAGACAUAAGAGGACAAGGUAAAGGAAGUAAUUGGAGGAUGCAUGUGUAACUUCUGUCAGAUGUUCUGAAAGAUGGUAUAGAUGCUAUGUGCUGCUGCCAGCAUCUCUGAAGUGUGCCUUUUUUUCUAAUCUUAAAUGGAAAUUAAGGGUGAAAGAUCCCAGUGAAACCAUGAAAGAUGGUUUUGGCCAGCGGUUAUCCUUGAUAACCAUGUACUUUGCUGCAGAGACAAGGCAAAGCUCAGCUAUGCUCAUCUGAAAUGGAGGUGAAUCUUACAAAGCCUUACCUUCCCACUCAGUACCACAGAAUUAAACUUGUCUGCUCCAAAUCUACUGAACAAAUAGAGGAGGACAAUUCAAGGAAAGUCUUUUUACAGUUGUCCCUUAGCCAUAAAAGAUGUCAUAAGAGAAGCACAAUGGGGAAAAACUUCCCUCUGAAUAGUUGGUGUGAGAAGCUUGCAUCAGCAUUGAUUUAUGAUUGCUAGUGUGAAAAAUAGGUAAAAUAAUUUGUGCAUAAGAGUUUUCACCCUGCAUGUGUGGCCAGAGUGUGGUCUGUUAUUGAAAAAAAAAAAAAAGGUCAUUUAGGAAAGUCUUAGAGUGAGGAGAAUUCUGUCUUCAAUGUGAGAAACAAUUGAAUUUGAAUUAAAUUUUAAUUAAAUUUAGGGGAUAACUUAGGGGUAAGUAUGAACUUUUCUGCUGUUGCUAGGAGCAGCUGUCCCCAUGGACUCAAGCUACAGUGAUUCUUAGGUGGCAUCUUACUCGCUUCCAGAUUGUUGAAAACCGUUGAGAAGACACAAAACUUGAAUUAGGCCUCAGACUUCUGUUUAUUAGAUGCAGAAGGACAAAACUCUGAACAGCAAUGCAGUAAAACGAUGUCACAGUGGAUUAAGUAGGUCCUCUGGUGACACCAGAAAGGAAUGCUCUUCAAAACACUGGGAACAGAAUAUAA
RNA transcript from Egretta garzetta (little egret), 5960 nucleotides. It is a transcript of the gene named SECIS binding protein 2, with no coding region annotated. Lineage: Eukaryota; Metazoa; Chordata; Aves; Pelecaniformes; Ardeidae. The transcript has 19 exons. The record is from RefSeq and is a predicted model, not a curated record.